CGCACUUGCUUCCGCCUCAGCAGCUUGGUUUUCGUAUGCAUGUCUCCUCGCCGUCGAGGCGGCCGGCUCCGGCGCCGGCGCCGUGGAGGAACCGUGUAUGCCAUGGUCGAUUUGUUCAGACGUGUCAGGAACUCAGGAUGAGAAGUUUAUUUGUGGAGCAGUGAGCCACCAUCGAAUUGGAUGAGAGUUUUAGACGAUUACUGAUGAGCCCAUUAGUAUUUAAUUACUGUGAUGAUGGUGGAUUGGGAGAGUUAAUGAUGUCUGUCUCCUUCAUUAGCAAUCCCUUUGAGCUUGUGCAGUUUUGCACCCAGGACAUCAUCUGGAAUUCAGAUUUGAGAAAUCUUGCUACUAUCAUUGAGAUUUGAGCCUUCAGAACAUGACAGAAUAUGUAGAACAAGAGAUCAGUUUUUCGAGGUGCGAAUUUGACCAAGAAUCUCCCGGAUAGGUCACGCCACCUCUUAUGCAACACAGAGGCGACAGGCCGGCAGUGAAGCUCGCCGGAGCCAGGAAGGAACAGACUAUUUUUAACGUGUCUGCACGGAGACGCUGAAGCAGACAGGGUGAACGGUGUGAUGCGUGCUGACGAAAAAUCUAUGGAUGUAGCAACUAGAACAACGAUACAGCAACGAACGGGAGGUGGAGGAACCCCGGCCACCGGCGUCGGCGAGCCGGCAAGUGCUAUGCCUCUGUUCGGAUCCGCACAAACGAGGCUAGCUAUAGAGUGUGGAGGAUUGCUCUGGAGAACUGGAGAUUGAUCGGAUGAAGCGGAUUACGUGAUGAUCUGGAGAAAGUUUGCAUUUUUAUGGGGUUUGCCUGAUCUUGUUAAUUGGAAUCUGGAAUGCUUCAAUCUUUUGAUCAGGAGAAAGAAGGUUCAGUUUGCUGAUCACCAGAUCAAGGCUUACGUAAUGACAUGGAGAAAGUUUGCAUUUUUACGAGGUUUUGUUGGUUGGAAACUUGGAAUGCUUCAAUCUUGAUCAAGAGAAUAAAGAGAAAGAAAGGGCAUUUGGACCACGUCAGGUAGACAGGGAGUUGGCUAACAGAUUGCGAGUCAGUAUCAAGAAGUUAAAGCUGGAGUGAUAAACUGGCAGGAACUAGUUAGGGAGUUAUUACUCAGCCUAAAUACCAUUUCCUGAUUGCCCAGUUUCAAUUUCCUGUUUACUUGAAAAUAAAAGGUUCAGUUUUAUUUUCUGUAGAUCAGUUUCAAUAUCAUUCCAAGUGGAGAGUGGAACUGUUCUUCAGUUUUUUAGCAUCACUUUUGUCACAAAUUGAGAAAGAAAGCUCAC
Molecule: long non-coding RNA, 1283 nt
Organism: Oryza brachyantha (malo sina)
Lineage: Eukaryota; Viridiplantae; Streptophyta; Magnoliopsida; Poales; Poaceae
Exons: 4
Source: RefSeq, a predicted model, not a curated record